UGCAAGUCGAACGAGUUCUCGUUGAUGAUCGGUGCUUGCACCGAGAUUCAACAUGGAACGAGUGGCGGACGGGUGAGUAACACGUGGGUAACCUGCCCUUAAGUGGGGGAUAACAUUUGGAAACAGAUGCUAAUACCGCAUAGAUCCAAGAACCGCAUGGUUCUUGGCUGAAAGAUGGCGUAAGCUAUCGCUUUUGGAUGGACCCGCGGCGUAUUAGCUAGUUGGUGAGGUAAUGGCUCACCAAGGCGAUGAUACGUAGCCGAACUGAGAGGUUGAUCGGCCACAUUGGGACUGAGACACGGCCCAAACUCCUACGGGAGGCAGCAGUAGGGAAUCUUCCACAAUGGACGCAAGUCUGAUGGAGCAACGCCGCGUGAGUGAAGAAGGCUUUCGGGUCGUAAAACUCUGUUGUUGGAGAAGAAUGGUCGGCAGAGUAACUGUUGUCGGCGUGACGGUAUCCAACCAGAAAGCCACGGCUAACUACGUGCCAGCAGCCGCGGUAAUACGUAGGUGGCAAGCGUUAUCCGGAUUUAUUGGGCGUAAAGCGAGCGCAGGCGGUUUUUUAAGUCUGAUGUGAAAGCCCUCGGCUUAACCGAGGAAGCGCAUCGGAAACUGGGAAACUUGAGUGCAGAAGAGGACAGUGGAACUCCAUGUGUAGCGGUGAAAUGCGUAGAUAUAUGGAAGAACACCAGUGGCGAAGGCGGCUGUCUGGUCUGUAACUGACGCUGAGGCUCGAAAGCAUGGGUAGCGAACAGGAUUAGAUACCCUGGUAGUCCAUGCCGUAAACGAUGAAUGCUAGGUGUUGGAGGGUUUCCGCUCUUCAGUGCCGCAGCUAACGCAUUAAGCAUUCCGCCUGGGGAGUACGACCGCAAGGUUGAAACUCAAAGGAAUUGACGGGGGCCCGCACAAGCGGUGGAGCAUGUGGUUUAAUUCGAAGCAACGCGAAGAACCUUACCAGGUCUUGACAUCUUUUGAUCACCUGAGAGAUCAGGUUUCCCCUUCGGGGGCAAAAUGACAGGUGGUGCAUGGUUGUCGUCAGCUCGUGUCGUGAGAUGUUGGGUUAAGUCCCGCAACGAGCGCAACCCUUAUGACUAGUUGCCAGCAUUUAGUUGGGCACUCUAGUAAGACUGCCGGUGACAAACCGGAGGAAGGUGGGGAUGACGUCAAAUCAUCAUGCCCCUUAUGACCUGGGCUACACACGUGCUACAAUGGAUGGUACAACGAGUUGCGAGACCGCGAGGUCAAGCUAAUCUCUUAAAGCCAUUCUCAGUUCGGACUGUAGGCUGCAACUCGCCUACACGAAGUCGGAAUCGCUAGUAAUCGCGGAUCAGCACGCCGCGGUGAAUACGUUCCCGGGCCUUGUACACACCGCCCGUCACACCAUGAGAGUUUGUAACACCCGAAGCCGGUGGCGUAACCCUUUUAGGGAGCGAGCCGUCU
This 1440-nucleotide ribosomal RNA is filed under the name Lacticaseibacillus paracasei. RNAcentral's name for it is "bacterial SSU rRNA". It matches the Rfam family "Bacterial small subunit ribosomal RNA". Lineage: Bacteria; Bacillati; Bacillota; Bacilli; Lactobacillales; Lactobacillaceae. The record is from RNAcentral.